Molecule: long non-coding RNA, 4946 nt
Filed under: Mytilus galloprovincialis (Mediterranean mussel)
Lineage: Eukaryota; Metazoa; Mollusca; Bivalvia; Mytilida; Mytilidae
Source: RNAcentral
UUUUUUCACCUUCAAUUAAUUAAUUUGUUUUACAAGUAAUACAUGUAGUAUAAAAAGAUUAAAGAUUACAAUCAUGCAAUCAUCGCCAGCCUUAAAAGCAACACAAUGUUCAAACUCAUUACUGGAAUUCUUAUCUGUGCAUGUCUGACAUUUCUCCUCAACACAGAAGUGUCUGGUCUAGGUACGUAUAUGUUUUAAGCUACUUUUAUUAAAAUAAAUUAUGAAAUAUUGUCAUUAGAUUUAUUCUGUUAAUAACAAUUACUUUUACCGCCAAAUAGGACAAAGGAGUAUGUCCAGUAAGACCUCAUUUUGGGCCCAAAAUAUAGCAGUUUUACAAAAUUGUUAAAUUGUAAACUUUUAGUUCUUUAUUGGAAGGUAGAAUGCCUCUGCUACAUAAAUAUAAGCUGUUUUUCGACAAUACCAUGCACAUAUAUCGGGUACUAGCAUCAUUAAGUUAUGCUAAAUAACUGAGAUCUUCACAAUUUAAGCGUUUUAGUUAAAUUUCAGACGGUUUCCGUCUUAAAUGACAGUGGCCGCAUUUGUGUUCAUUAUUAAUAUUGAAUAAAGUUGUAUUUAAUGUAAAUACAUAACAUAUAUAAAGGUUGAGGAUGAACACGGAUGCGGCCACUUUAAUUUUCGCCAAAACCAUCUAAAAAAUGACAUGUUUUGGCAUAUUUGAUAGAUUUUUCAUAUUUAAGCUUGAAUCGGAGCGUUUUUAAUGAGUAAAUUAGUUAUAAUCUUUCACAUAAACUUAUUGAUCAACUGAAAUAGACACUUAAGCGUUUAAAAAGUGUCCAAAAUUUUUCGUCAGAUGAACCUGAAAUUUGAGGCUAAAAUCGGUCAUUUCCGGACCUACUCCUUCAAUAACCGGUCCCAACAUAACUUGCAAUCAAUAACACAUUUUGUUCUAUUUAAAAAAAAAUAUCAAUAAACGUGUUGAUAAGAUAGUGACAAAGGCUUGUUAUAUAUUUCAGGAUAACAUGUAUAACAAAUACAAUUGAGUACGUGAUCAAAGUGUAAAUCGCAAAGAAAAACAACUGCUGAACUUCAAACAAAAUAUUAAAACGAGUUUAUUUUAUUCUAUUUCCUUUGAAAACUCAGCUUUUCACUAAACAGGCGAAAUUCAUUUACGUAUGGAAAUAUUUUGUAAUUUGCGUAUUUAAAUAAUGUAUUUAUUUUAUUAGAAAUAUAAAUUUAUUUUAAGGACCAAUUAAAAGUAUCAUAAGUUAGUAAUAAAACAAUGAUAAAAUAGGUCAUACAGCUAAAAACGUUUCCGAAUCAAGAGCAUAAUAUACAUGUAUAAUGAAUGAUAAGUUGUAUAUAAACGAACUAUAACUGAGUUAUUCUUGAUUAUAGUAGUAGAGUUUUAAUUGCUAGCUUACACAAUGACUUUUUGUCUCUCGGAUUCUGACUCUUCUACCCAUAGAAGAAUCUUCAACAGAUCCAAAAACUAUCUUAGGUAUAACACUUUUAGAAUUAUAUUCGUUAGUAAUUUUCGUUUUACCUUUUUAUAAACUAUUGUUUGAAAGUCAGUUAGCUUAUACAUGUACCGAGAUUCACAAAAUAAUACAUACUACAGAUACUGACAUUACCUAGCUACGUGUUAAUGUAUCUCGAAUUCCCAUGUUUAGCUUCGUACUAUUGCCGGAUGGGGGUGUUUCUAUUUUUAAAGAACAUCACUACGAUCGUUAAAUACAAAAGAAUAUUGAAAAUAUGAAUAUACACACACUAGAUUUUGAUAUCUAAAUGACCAUUUGAGAGGAUGGUCAUGAGGUUGUUACCGUUUUAUCUCGACGACGUAGACACCCAUUUUUUAUGUUUUUAUUUAUAUGUAAGUUUAUAUAAAUUGAUACGGCGGAUAAACUCCAACUAAAAUCUGUACGGUCUUUUCUCUGUUGUCAAUUCCAUCCAGUCAUAAUAUGUCUUUUUCAAAUAUUCUAAAGUAUGAACACAUGAUAAAAAACUGAAGUUUAGCAACGCUGAAUCGGUAAUCUGUUUUUUUUUUUAUUAUCAUUUAUCAGAAAAGUUUUAAAAGUCCAAAUAGUAACAUAUUUCAAAUUUCAGAUAGGUCACAAGUAAAGAAUUUUUGAGAUAGAAUUUUCUUAUAAUUUGCAAAAAUGAGGAUAUUACUAUGCUUUUUUCAAAAAUAUAAUAAAAAGUAUGGGUCGCCGUGCUAUUUUUCAAGCUAUGAGUCGUUAAAUAUUGCCUUAAUUUGGUCAUAUUGUUCAUGAAAAAACACAUUUCUGUGCAUAUUUUUUUUUUCUAUGAGACAAAAUUUUGAAAUAAAUUGUGAGGAGAUAGCUAUAUAGGUUUUAUUGUAUAUUUUAAGAAAAUAAAAAAAAUGGUGUCACCGUACUUGUUUUCUUGCUACAAGUAAAAAAAAAAUCCCUAUCAGUCCAGUUUAUUUUUUUACUAAAAGUGUUAUCUCCCCUUAAAUGGCUCAUUUGUAAAAAUGAUUCUUAAAACAACAAAAAAUUAUAUUUGUUUAAAUAUUUUGAAUAAUACAAUAAUUCACCUAGUUUUCAUCAUAUAAAUAAACAGUCUAACUAUAGAUUUGAAAAUCUGUCUCCAAAUUUGCAGAUUAAAGCAAAUAACUAGACCGAUUUUGUACUGUGAGUGUACGAUUCGAGAUGGCGGUAUACCAUGGAUCAACCUUAAUGAGUCAAAUCCUCAGUAUAAAAAUUAAUAUUUUAAACAAGCCAUAUUGCUCAUUUUAGUUUAUGUCAACAUAAAAGGAAUAAGUUCAUUUUUGACAGGCUAUAGACUGAAAUGCCCUGUUCCCUCUGGUGAUGCUUCCCAUUGUGCUGACUUUUGUGGAAGUUCUGGGUGUAAAAAUGGAUAUCUUUGUUGUUCCAUUGGCUGUGGUAGAGAAUGCAGAAAGGGGGUCCGCUAUUAGGCUUCAAUGAUCUACAUAUGUGGUAAGAUAUUGCUAUACAUAUUUUUCCUAAAUAUUGAUAUCAAAACGUAUUUCAAAUAUUGUAACUGAGAUACAUCCAUAGAGUCACAUACAGAUGUCUACUAUUGUAUAAUCUAUAUUAGUCCGGAGUCUAUUUUUAUUUGCUUCUUCUAGUGUUGAGUUUGCUGUCAAAUUUGCAUUUACCUCAUAUCUCACAUUGUUCUUUUUUUUUUUUCAUUUGAAAGAUAAUGGCAUGAAUAAAAGACUAAAUGUGAUUGGAUUAAAAUAACUCAGUAGUUUGCAUAUUGGGUUUUUUAAAUUCAAAAAGUAAGAUUAAUAUGAUUAGGAAUGCAUAACUAGUUUAAUAUCUUCAAAUUUUUUGCAUUAUAAGCAUUAUUUAAAAUAAAAUAGCGGUAAUUGCUUUUACAAUGUUUUAGCAUUUAAAAAAAAAAAAAUUGUGUAAAUUUGUACUGACUGGUUUGGUUGAAAAUCCAUUAUACUUGUAAACUUCUGAUUGAAAAAGAACUUAAUAUUCCGUGGGGUAAGGCACAAAACACCACACAUAUGUUCCAAUUGUCUCUACACAGUGCGACUGACUGACGUAAUGGUAACUUAAAACGGAAACAAAAUAUAUGCCAGAAUAAAGAACUAUUACUACAUGUGUAUUUUAUAAUGAAACAUAUAUGGCCGUACCAUAAUAAGACUUAUGACUCUGCCCUAGUCGACGAGAAGGUUCCAAGACGGUUAUACAACGCCUUUUCUAUUCGGACAUUAUUUCACUGAUUGAUUGAUUGAUUGUUGGUUGUUUAACGUCCAGUGGCAAAUAUUUCAUGCAUAUUCAGGACGAGAACAAGUUCACAAUGAAUACAAUAGGUAGGUCUUGUCAUAAUAUAGGUCAUAAGGGAUGAUGGUCGGGGAAAUUUCGACUGCCACUGGAAAAUGAGUGACUGUAUAUUGGAUAGGGACAGAAAUUUUGCCUUAUAACAGGCCACCUACGGGCCCUCAAGGAGUCGUUAUAAGGGUUCUUAACGUGCAAAGAGCGUGGCACUCUCUUUACACGAGACAUCGGAUUUAGCGUCCCCAUUCUGACCGGACGUGACUGCGAACUUCAUACAUCCCACACAGCCAAACGGACGCCCUACUUCGACAAGCGUUUUACUGCCUGUCGGGAGAAGACCGAGAGACCAUAUUUCUAUUCCCCAGUCACCCUUAUUACCAUGAGAAAUACACGUAUUGCAUAUAUCAUGAAAUGAAAAUAUAUAUAAAGUAUAAGAGACUGACACACAUAGGAUACAAUGCGACUUUAACUAUUCGAUCAUUUUUUUCAAUGCAUUGAAUAGUCGAAUAAAUCGCCUUCAUAUAACAACGUUAAAGGAUCAUGGCAUUUACAAGUACUUGCCUUGAGGUCAAUAUUGAUAGCCGGAUGAAAAUGACUGUAUUUUUAUAAAUAAACGUUUUGAAAAGAACUUUCACCCACCUUAACCAUUGCUAUGGGACAAAAAAGUAUAGAUUUGUCUCAUUAACACUCACACCACAUCUUCCUAUAUCAAUAUAUAUCAAUAUAUAUCUGAACAAAACUUUUUUAGGACGAACAGAUAAUAUCCACACACUUUUCCGAACCCAAAACGAUAUUAAUGAGAACAUGAAAACACAAUUUACUCUAAAACAAAGCAAAAACGAAUCAAGGUUAAUAGGAAUAAAUAGAAACGAAUUGACUAACCAAAAAAGGAAGAUAUGAUAUGCAUGAUAUAUAACAUGAAUGAUUCAAAUAUUUAAAUGCAUACAUGCAAGUUUUUGUUUUACUUCAAGUAUCGAUUAUGUCAUUGAAUUUUUAUAUUUACUUUCUUUUUUGUUGCAGGCUACCAACAUGAAAAUAUGAGAAAUCAGAUAAAGAACAUUAUUAGUUUUGAUAUGUGUCUUUGCCUUAACAAUGAGUUUUGCCUUGAACGUCUUCUCAAGUAAAAGUAUUAGUAUAUCGUCUUCACAUUCAUUUUGUGUGCCCUCUAUUCCUAACUUUCUAAUAAGUGUUCAAAAUUGAUUAUUUAUCGGG